Long non-coding RNA from Sparus aurata (gilthead seabream), 2855 nucleotides. The record is from Ensembl. NCBI's taxonomy places the organism in Eukaryota, Metazoa, Chordata, Actinopteri, Spariformes, Sparidae.
UGUUCAACCUACAAGGUCGUCUCGACAGAGCAGAGUUGUGGUAGCUGCGCUCUCCCUUCUGGCAGAAAGGAUGAUCUGCAACGUGCCUAUACAUGCUGCGAUCAGCUGCAGCACCUCUCGGCGCCUGAUUAGCUUCUCACUCAAACGCAGCCCCUCAUUUCUCAUAAAGUGAUAUUUUUAUCUUCCAAGUUGGCGAUGGCCGCGGUCGGAGGCGUUAUGUUUUUGGGUUGUCCACUCGUCGCUACAUCUCGUUCUUGUAAACGUGAUAUCUCAAGAACACCUUGAGGGAAUUUCUUUAAAUAUGGCACAAAUUAUCCACAUGGACUCAGUGAUGAACUGAUUAAUUUUGAAUGGUCACAAUUUAUAUAAUAAGUAUGACAAAACAUGUUUCCACAGUGCAAAAGGACAAAAUGAUAAAGUGAAGACAUUUAUAUCCGAAAGGUCCAGAGUUAACAUCAUUGUGACAUCAUUGUUUUAUUUUUUCAUUUUUUUAUUGUCCUUAGCCAGUAGAUAAUGGUUAUUUGUAUCAUGUGAUCUCCUCAAACUGCCCAUAAAAGUUGUUUUAUCGAAUUAAUUAUAAAUUGUGUAGUAAGAGCUUUAAUAAUAACACACAUUUCUUUUCAUUUGUAGGACCUUUUGACUCAGUACUCCAUUGCUUACGCUGAGGUGUUGAAAGAAGUCAAACUGUAUGCCACUGGAGGCCAGCCCAGCACUGCCUCAAGCUCCAGGCCCACACAGGGGAAACAGAAAACAAGCUGGAAGAAGAAAUCAUUCACCCCUUACAACCGUUACUGACUGGAGGACUUCUUAAUUACAGAUUCUAUUGGUCCAGAUUUUAAAACCAGGAAAUGUAGACGUCCCAGACAUUUCAGCAGCCCACUGAAACUUUUUGUUAAGCUUUUGUAAUGAAAAAUCUUUAAUGAGUACAAAUUGAUACGCUGAUAUUGUGAUAUUUGACUUGAUGAAUAUAUAUAUAUAUAUUAUAUACAUAUAUAUUAUUCAUUCACAUUAAUAAACCCCUUUAAUUAUAACUUUUACUCUGUGGUAAACGUUUUUAAUUGGAGGUGUAAUUUGUAGGAAUUGACAUGUAUUAAAUGUAAACAUUAAGUUGUUUCUCGUAAAAAGGGUCAUUUUGUCGCAAUAUUUCUACAGUGCAUUUGUUUGGCUUCAAUAAUCAUGUAGUCAAAAUCGGAUGUCACGUCAGUCCUGAUGUAAAAUGUGUCUCUUUAGCAGCCGUUUGAACUCAAUGUUUCAUCUGAUUUCAUCAUCAUCGGUAAAUGAAUAUAAGAUGAAAACAAACAUGUAAAAUUUUAUAAAUUCUGUUAACAGUAAACAAAACAUACUACUUCUCUGUCACCCGACAAGAAAAUCCCCAGACUCCCUUGAGAAAUCGCUCAAUUUUGUGACUUAAAUACAUAGUGUUCAUUUGUCCCUGUGAUGAGUUUAUUUUGCUUAUAGUUCCAAGGAACCUAAAAAAGAAGGAAGGGUUUUUGUGUCACUGACUCUCACUUUGGUGCCAGACUGUGGUGUCAGCUUGGAGAAACACACGAAAAAGCCAACAAAUAAACGUUGUAUUACAUAAUUUAUAUUCAUUUUACCUAAAAUGAUUGACAGGGUUGAUAAUAUCAUGAUCAAACUGGGCAGGUUUGAUUAAUUUCUGCUCAUGAAACUGCAAUAACCCUGCGAACAGGAGCCUUUCCUACACAAAGUCGUGGAACAAAAUCAGUGACAUAAUGAACCCUUUUGAGGUUCCUUGUAUAGAAAGUGAAAGUGAGAUCUGAUCACAACUGGUCACUCCAGUUUUGUUUAUCUGUGUAGCAUAAAGAGGAUCGAGCUCAGUUUCGUUUUUUGGAACCCCGGUGUUGUAAAAUCAUAAAUGAAUGAACCUUGAACCUUUAGAAACGGAGUCUGCGAACAUGACAAAACAACCGUCUUCCAGCACAACACAGAAGUUCCACAGAGCACCUUUUAAUAAAAAACAUUAUUGACUUGUAUAAGAUGAUGAACCACAGAGCAAAGGCAACCCAAGAAAAUGUAUGAUGGCAAAUUCUAAACCAUUGAUGUCUCAAGUCGUUCAGGCUGGUUGCUGCAGGUAAUCCUCUGUAUCCUCUGACAUUGUUCUGGCUGAUCAGUUCAUCCAACACGGCGUCUGGUGUUCACUUCCUGGAUGAGAUUCCUUGAGUGUCACUGAGGAGAAAGAGAGCGACAUCGACUCAUUAAUGGAACACACUGGAGUUGUUAUCUUAUGUCUUACAUUAGGAUUUAUGGCUAUUGAGUAAUCAAAGUUCAGAUUAUAUGGUAAUUUUCUUAAUCCAAAAUGUUGUUUUGUGAAACGUAUUGAAGAUGUUGAAGAUUGAACAUGCUGCAUCGAUCCCUGUGAAUCCCUUGUGCACGUGAGGGCAAUUUGAACCCAGUGCAGAAAUGGCGGACCCCGCCACAAACUACAGACCGUACAGAGUGGUAUUUAUGUAUGAUAUGGCUGCUGCAUGAAAAAAUGUGCACUAUAAAUGGUAUCAACAAUAAGGUUUUAGCUAAACUGUGUCAAAAUUAAUGGUUGCAACAGUUACAUGAAUACUGAUUUAUGAAAUAAUUGACUUUACUGUCUUGGCUUGUUCCUCUUUUAGGGAAGCUUUUCAUAUAAACUGAGGACAGAAAGGACAAUAAGAGCCAACAUCCAGCCUGCAGGCAGUAACAUGUGAAGGUGCAUAAUCAAUCUGUACCUUUUCCCACCACCAUGGCUCUGCUGAGGGUCUUGCAGCUGUAAAAUAUUGAACAUAAAUUAAACUGUAUAACAAACAUACUCUUUGCACAGUGCUGUACAAGUCAAAUUCAGAGCAUGCAGGUCGACUCACUGU